AGAAGAUCGAGCGCCUCCCCCUAGGACGGGAACGCCCACUUCAAAAAAAACACCACGAAACGCCCCACAAAAACACCCGAACCCUUUCCCUCUCUCUCCCCCCUCCCCAUGGCAUCGGAGAGUUUCGUCCUCGACCCUCUAAACACCCGCCCUAUCUCGGCUGGCCUCGGCCGAUCCGGCGGCGGCGCCUCCCCUCCGUGGCCCCACAUCUCCCUCCUCUCUUGCCGUAGAUCCCCGAGCCGAACCCACGUGAUCUCCUCACCCUUCGAGUGCGGUGUACAUAGACGGCAGACAGGGUGAAGCCAGGCAGCGGAAGGCAUCGAUCGAGCGCUAUCACAUAGGAUUCUUUUGGAUUUUUUUCCCUCAAUGCUUUCAUAUUAUAAUUUUUACACCUUGGAUUUAUUCUCUCUACAUGGAGGAAAUUUUCUUCGUUCAUCUCACCUAUAUGAAUCUUGGUUAAUUUUAUGAUUUUAUCCAUUAAGUACGAAUUAAGAUUCUCUUUUUAAUUUUAUCGAGAUUUUUGAUUGCCUGCUAAGGGCUGUUAGGUCUUCGUCACAUUCUGAUCAUUUGAUUUACAAGAGUUUCUGAGCCUUUUAUUGGUAAUCACAUGGUAUUUUUUGGAGCAUUUUACAAGGUUCUAGUUGUUGUGCUAUAAUUGGUGAUUUUUUUUUUUU
RNAcentral lists this long non-coding RNA (674 nucleotides) under Elaeis guineensis (African oil palm). RNAcentral's name for it is "long non-coding RNA (EGUI_LNC074794)". Lineage: Eukaryota; Viridiplantae; Streptophyta; Magnoliopsida; Arecales; Arecaceae. The record is from RNAcentral.